RNAcentral lists this ribosomal RNA (165 nucleotides) under Desmodium tortuosum (Florida beggarweed). Its description in RNAcentral is "5.8S ribosomal RNA". It matches the Rfam family "5.8S ribosomal RNA". From Rfam's summary of the family: 5.8S ribosomal RNA (5.8S rRNA) is a component of the large subunit of the eukaryotic ribosome. It is transcribed by RNA polymerase I as part of the 45S precursor that also contains 18S and 28S rRNA. Lineage: Eukaryota; Viridiplantae; Streptophyta; Magnoliopsida; Fabales; Fabaceae. The record is from RNAcentral.
AGAAUGACUCUCGGCAAUGGAUAUCUCGGCUCUUGCAUCGAUGAAGAACGUAGCGAAAUGCGAUACUUGGUGUGAAUUGCAGAAUCCCGUGAACCAUCGAGUCUUUGAACGCAAGUUGCGCCCGAAGCCAUUAGGCCGAGGGCAUGCCUGCCUGGGUGUCACACA